UACAGAGGUCCCAAGCGUUGUUCGGAUUCACUGGGCGUAAAGGGUGCGUAGGUGGCCGGGUAAGUUCGAUGUGAAAGCUCUGAGCUCAACUCAGAAAUGGCAUUGAAUACUAUCCGGCUUGAGGGUUGGAGGGGGGACUGGAAUUCUCGGUGUAGCAGUGAAAUGCGUAGAUAUCGAGAGGAACACCAGUGGCGAAGGCGAGUCCCUGGACGACUCCUGACACUGAGGCACGAAAGCUAGGGGAGCAAACAGG
Molecule: ribosomal RNA, 253 nt
Filed under: uncultured prokaryote
Description: partial 16S ribosomal RNA
Rfam family: Bacterial small subunit ribosomal RNA
Source: RNAcentral